AGCUCCAAUAGCGUAUAUUAAAGUUGUUGCAGUUAAAAAGCUCGUAGUUGGAUCUCGGGAGCAGGCCGGCGGUCCGCCUCGCGGCGGUUUCUGCCCGUACUGCCCCACCCGCCGGGUUUUCCCCGGGGGGCUUCAUUGAGAGCCUCGGGGGGGCCGGAACGUUUACUUUGAAAAAAUUAGAGUGUUCAAAGCAGGCAGUUCGCCUGAAUAAUGGUGCAUGGAAUAAUGGAAUAGGACCUCGGUUCUAUUUUGUUGGUUUUCGGAACUUGAGGUAAUGAUUAAGAGGGACAGACGGGGGCAUUCGUAUUACACUGUUAGAGGUGAAAUUCUUGGAUCGGUGUAAGACGAACUACUGCGAAAGCAUUUGCCAAGAAUGUUUUCA
RNAcentral lists this ribosomal RNA (382 nucleotides) under marine Metazoa environmental sample. Its description in RNAcentral is "partial small subunit ribosomal RNA". It matches the Rfam family "Eukaryotic small subunit ribosomal RNA", at positions 587 to 972 of the family's 1831-position model. The record is from RNAcentral. Lineage: Eukaryota; Metazoa.